AUUGAACGCUGGCGGCAGGCCUAACACAUGCAAGUCGAGCGGAUGAAGGGAGCUUGCUCCUGGAUUCAGCGGCGGACGGGUGAGUAAUGCCUAGGAAUCUGCCUGUUAGUUGGGGAUAACGUCCGGAAACGGGCGCUAAUACCGCAUACGUCCUGAGGGUGAAAGUGGGGGAUCUUCGGACCUCACGCUAUCAGAUGAGCCUAGGUCGGAUUAGCUAGUUGGUGGGGUAAAGGCCUACCAAGGCGACGAUCCGUAACUGGUCUGAGAGGAUGAUCAGUCACACUGGAACUGAGACACGGUCCAGACUCCUACGGGAGGCAGCAGUGGGGAAUAUUGGACAAUGGGCGAAAGCCUGAUCCAGCCAUGCCGCGUGUGUGAAGAAGGUCUUCGGAUUGUAAAGCACUUUAAGUUGGGAGGAAGGGCAGUAAGUUAAUACCUUGCUGUUUUGACGUUACCAACAGAAUAAGCACCGGCUAACUUCGUG
RNAcentral lists this ribosomal RNA (484 nucleotides) under uncultured bacterium. RNAcentral's name for it is "partial 16S ribosomal RNA". It matches the Rfam family "Bacterial small subunit ribosomal RNA", at positions 30 to 507 of the family's 1533-position model. The record is from RNAcentral.